UACGUAGGGGGCAAGCGUUGUCCGGAUUUAUUGGGCGUAAAGAGCGUGUAGGCGGCUUUACAGGUCCGUUGUGAAAACUCGAGGCUCAACCUCGAGACGCCGGUGGAAACCGUAAAGCUAGAGUCCGGAAGAGGAGAGUGGAAUUCCUGGUGUAGCGGUGAAAUGCGCAGAUAUCAGGAAGAACACCUGUGGCGAAGGCGGCUCUCUGGGACGGUACUGACGCUGAGACGCGAAAGCGUGGGGAGCGAACAGG
This 253-nucleotide ribosomal RNA is filed under the name uncultured bacterium. RNAcentral's name for it is "partial 16S ribosomal RNA". It matches the Rfam family "Bacterial small subunit ribosomal RNA", at positions 524 to 776 of the family's 1533-position model. The record is from RNAcentral.